AGAGUUUGAUCAUGGCUCAGACAAACGCUGGCGGCGUGCCUAACACAUGCAAGUCGUACGAGAAAGGGUCCUUCGGGACCUGAGUAAAGUGGCGCACGGGUGAGUAACGCGUGGAUAAUCUACCCUUCAGUUGGGACAACUCAUCGAAAGGUGGGCUAAUACCGAAUAAUACUGCUCGACCUUGGUCGAGCAGCCAAAGAGAGCCUCUGCUUGCAAGCCCUCGCUGAAGGAUGAGUUCGCGUACCAUUAGCUUGUUGGUAGGGUAAUGGCCUACCAAGGCGACGAUGGUUAGCUGGUCUGAGAGGAUGAUCAGCCACACUGGAACUGAGACACGGUCCAGACUCCUACGGGAGGCAGCAGUGAGGAAUCUUGCGCAAUGGGGGAAACCCUGACGCAGCAACGCCGCGUGAGUGAGGAAGGUCUUCGGAUCGUAAAGCUCUGUCAGUUGGAAAGAAAUGUCUGAGAGUCAAUACCUUUCAGGCUUGACGGUACCAACAGAGGAAGCACCGGCUAACUCCGUGCCAGCAGCCGCGGUAAUACGGGGGGUGCAAGCGUUGUUCGGAAUUAUUGGGCGUAAAGAGCGUGUAGGCGGCCGGAUAUGUCAGAUGUGAAAGCCCCGGGCUUAACCCGGGAAGUGCAUUUGAAACUGUCCGGCUCGAGUAGGGGAGAGGGAAGUGGAAUUCCUGGUGUAGAGGUGAAAUUCGUAGAUAUCAGGAGGAACACCGGUGGCGAAGGCGACUUCCUGGCCCUAUACUGACGCUGAGACGCGAGAGCGUGGGUAGCAAACAGGAUUAGAUACCCUGGUAGUCCACGCCGUAAACGAUGUUCACUAGGUGUUGGGGGUAUUGACCCCCUCAGUGCCGGAGCUAACGCAUUAAGUGAACCGCCUGGGGAGUACGGUCGCAAGACUAAAACUCAAAGGAAUUGACGG
RNAcentral lists this ribosomal RNA (931 nucleotides) under uncultured bacterium. RNAcentral's name for it is "bacterial SSU rRNA". It matches the Rfam family "Bacterial small subunit ribosomal RNA", at positions 8 to 916 of the family's 1533-position model. The record is from RNAcentral.